This 328-nucleotide ribosomal RNA is filed under the name uncultured eukaryote. RNAcentral's name for it is "partial 18S ribosomal RNA". It matches the Rfam family "Eukaryotic small subunit ribosomal RNA", at positions 1470 to 1796 of the family's 1831-position model. The record is from RNAcentral.
CCCUUAGAUGUCCUGGGCCGCACGCGCGUUACACUGAUGCAUUCAACGAGCUUAUAACCUUGGCCGAGAGGCCUGGGCAAUCUUGUUAACGUGCAUCGUGAUAGGGAUAGAUUAUUGCAAUUAUUAAUCUUGAACGAGGAAUUCCUAGUAAACGCAAAUCAUCAAUUUGCAUUGAUUACGUCCCUGCCCUUUGUACACACCGCCCGUCGCACCUACCGAUUGGAUGGUCCGGUGAAGCCUCGGGAUUGUGGUUCUUGCCGCUUUAUUGUGGCGUGACCGCGAGAACUUGUCUAAACCUUAUCAUCUAGAGGAAGGUGAAGUCGUAACA